This is a long non-coding RNA of Ahaetulla prasina, 1649 nucleotides long. RefSeq lists it as uncharacterized. The transcript is spliced from 2 exons. The record is from RefSeq and is a predicted model, not a curated record. NCBI's taxonomy places the organism in Eukaryota, Metazoa, Chordata, Lepidosauria, Squamata, Colubridae.
GGAAGUUUUGGACCCGUUGAAUUGCCGUAGCCGCUCCGACUUCUGAAAAGAGACACACAAGGACGGCCGAGCUGGCGUCACGUGGUCGGGUUUUGUGCCGGGGGCUUAAGGGAUCUUCCAGAAGAACCUAGCAGAGCUCCUGCUUGGUGAAGAAGUUAUCUUGGUGAAAACUGCUGCUAGCUACAAACCUAUCAAAAGCAUCAUCUGAAGUAAUCUCAUUGUUGCCAUGAGAAUACGAGCACUGUUACCACACUUAAACACUGGCAGAGGCCCAUGAACUUUAAGAAGAGUACCCAGGGGCAUUGGAAGAGCAUCACAACAUUUUUUUAGGUGCUGGCGCCCAGCUGAAAACAAAGACAAACUUGCCAUAGAAUCAAAUUAUUCUUAAAUUCUCUCUCUUGUAGCUUUAUGUUCUUCCUCCUCAAAUUUUUCAGAUGGAGGCUUCUUACUCUAAACCAGGGGUCUUCAACCUUGGCAACUUUAAGACUUGUGGACUUCAACUCCCAGAAUUCCUCAGCCAGCAAAGCUGGGAAUUGAAGUCCACAAGUCUUAAAGUUGCUGGGAGUUGAAGUCCACAAGUCCACAAGCUGGGAGUUGAAGUCCACAAGUCUUAAAGUUGCCAAGGUUGGAGACCCCUGCUCUAAACAUGGGACUCUUUUUUCCAGUAGAGUGAUGUUUCAAAAGAAGACAGUUUUGUAACCCCAAAACCCAAUACAUUCUGAAAAUUAUUAUACCAUGUUUGUUGUAGGGGGUCGAACGAGUCAUAAGUCACAAAUCCCUGUGUGCCUGCAAGAGAUCUAAAUCCACCCACCUCUCAUUUCCCUUGAGCGUUAGUAGCUCAGAUUUUUGUAGAUAGCUUAAGCUUCCAAUAAAUCUUUAUGCUGAUUUGAACUGCCUGAACCUCCUGAUUUCCCUGGUGGCUUGACAUGUUUUUGUAAUGAAUUGUGACUUAAAGCAAUUAAGAAAAAUGAGCAGAUAUGUAGUGAUGAACAACUUGGCACUGCAGCACUAUCCCCAAACCUGUUUUUUAAAAUUUUUGUAGACAUUCAGCUUGUCAUGUUAAUUGUUUCUGGACAACCAUUUGUUGUGUGGCACAUUAAAGAGCUUAAAAAUGAAUACCCUUCUGUGGGUGCAGAGAAUUUUCAGAAGUGGGAUAUUUCGUUUCAAUGCUUGCAGCUUAUUUCUCAUUCAUUCAAUAAGAGUAGAAAAACAUCCUGAAAUUGUACUAACAAAUUUGGUAGCAAAAUGGCUAAUUUUCUACAAUAUAAUCCCUCUCCCCCCCCCAUUUGGGGUUUGUUCUUGAGGGGUGGGUGGAUGGUGGGGGUGGGGGUGGAAUGUUUUAAGGCUGAAUGAGAGCACAGUGCUUCCAUGAAGCAAAAUACUCCUACCAAAACCCUAAAUUAACAAGCUUUCAAAAUUGUGUCCUGGGAUCAAUUAAGACAUAUUUUUAUUUGUGUUCUUUGCUUAUGGGAUAAUAACUUGUUGAAUAUUUUUUGAAGACACUAUUUCUGAUAACUGAAAGAAUGCCACUAUUCUCUUAUCCAAAGGAAAUGCAGCAAGAGAGAAGCAGAAAAAAGAUGACUUUGUUAAUUGGGUCUUUGUUAAGGAGGUGUUUCACACACUUGUAAUUAAAAGAUUACUAUUCAGGA